Molecule: long non-coding RNA, 217 nt
Filed under: Salvia miltiorrhiza (redroot sage)
Lineage: Eukaryota; Viridiplantae; Streptophyta; Magnoliopsida; Lamiales; Lamiaceae
Description: long non-coding RNA (SMIL_LNC014455)
Source: RNAcentral
UCCGCUGCAACACUUAAUCUAUUCUACUUUAUUGAUGUGUUGUACAGAUUUUAAAUCAAUAGUUUUAAGAAUUAUGUCACUUCAAAGUUAGACAACUUGUCGUUGUGUAUUGUAAGUUGUCUACUCAUGAGUUUUAAAAGUGGUUGCCUACGAUUAUUCAAUACUAUAGUGAUUGCUUAUGAUUACUAAGUAUUAUGGUAAAUUAUUAUUAUUAUUA